UCCUAAGAUGGGGGCUGUUACUUUGGAAGGAGCGGAACCCUAGACCUCUGAAACACCAAACAACCAACUCCAUUUCAGCCGCCACUCCAUCCCCCCGUCGGACCACCCCUCUCAGUCAUCUUCACCAAGAACAACACACCCAUAGCCGAUUAUUUUCUCCCUGAUUCAAAACAAAAGACCAAAAGAGCGAAGUCAGCCAUUGACGCACCCCAACUGAACUCGCAAGAACCACCCAGCGUUCCCAUUUCCGGCCAGCCUCAGGAUCAUCGAACUUCUAAAACACACACACACAUAGCCAGAGAAUGGUCAAAUUCGAGGCAGAGAUCAAUUGAGAUUUGGAGUUUGAUUCGAGUGUGAUUCAGAGUCGAGGUUCACGGUUUUGGUUUCGAUUGUUUUUUUUUGUUCAUCUUCUGUCGCACUUUAAAAUUCCAAUGCCGGACUGCCUGUAUUCGUUCUUGAACAUAUUAAAUCAAGAGUUUCUCGCAUUCAGGUUAUAUCCUUGCUCUUUCUCUUAAUUUAUUAUCAAAACAUGAAUUUGAGGUGUUGUUUUCUCUCAAGCUCUUUUUUAAUUUCUGAGUUGUUUUUAUCGUAACUCUAAUAUCUUGAGGCAGCUAAGUGCAACUUGGCUUGUCUGCUCAUAAUCGCUAUAGCCUAUGGUAAUAUCUUAAAGCAUUGGCUUCACAUAGUUUUGUGUUUGAAGAUGUAAUAUAUUGUGAUUCCAAAAAUGUCAUCUCAAAUAUUGCCCAAGUCCAUAAGUCUCAUUUGAAGCCAAUGUCAUCAAUAGGAAUACCAGGGAAGGAUUUUUGACCUUGAGAGCUCUAGAAAUUUAACUUGCUUCAAAUUGACGUGUUGUCUUCUUUUGGUAUCAUAGUCAAGUUAAUUUUGUAUAUAUUAAUCUGAACCAAUUUGGGAUUAAGUUCACAUUGUUGUUUUAAUAUAAAUGGAUCGCGGGGUUGGACACCUACAUUGAAAGAAAAUUUAGAACAUGAAUGUUCUGUCUAGUUUCAUUUUAUUGCUUUGAUCGCUAGUAGCAUGUUUAGUCCAACCACACUCGGGGGCAAACCUUAGAACUUUUGUUAGUUUUGAGGUAAGAGGUCGUUUCCCUUGUUGAAUUUAUCUGGGGAAUGCCCCGCCUAAUUUGUAUAUAUUUUAUCCGGGGUAUGCCCUGAUGUACUUGCUCAAGUUAAUUUGACAGAUUAAUCUGAACCAAUUUGGUAUUAAGUUCACAUUCUUGUUUUAAUAUAAAUUGCUCGCGGGGUUGUAAAUUGAAAGAAAAUUUAGGAUGUGAAUGUUCUGUCUAGUUUCAUUUUAUUGCUUUGAUCGCUAGUAGCAUGUUUAUACCAACUACAUUCGGGUAGGCAAACCUUAAAAUUUUUGCUAGUUUCGAGGUGAGAGGUCGUUUCCAUAGUUGAAUUUAUCCGAGGAAUGCCCCGCGUAAUUUGUAUAUAUUCUAUCCGGGGUAUGCCCCAAAGUACUUGUAGUUGGAGGCCUAGAGUGGAACUUGUAGUCAUUUUAUUUUAUUUUUUGAAUUUUUAUUUUUCUUUCAUUAGGCGGAAACGACCUCGAGCCUCUUGUCUGUUUGUUUUUCUUUUCUAUGUCUUUUUUGUUUUUCUUUUCUAUGUUUAUUUUUAUCCCAAUUUAAAUAAUUCAAACGCCAACUAGAUCAUGUACGCAACCGUGACCUUCACGGAACUUGGGGAGUGCCUAACACCUUCUUCCCGAGUCAAAUGAACCCCCUUACCCAAAUCUCUGGUGUAGACUUAGUUUUAGAGUUCAAAGUAUUUUAAAAGGAAACUUAUUAUUUCUUUUUGGAAAAUAACGGCGACCUGACACACCGAAAUCAAAUGUCACGUGUCGACUCUGAGUUAUUUUCUUUUAAACAAAAUUUUUGUCACUUUCAAAAUUGAAAACCCUUUUCAAGCUUUUUUUAAAUCCUUUUUGUUUAUUUAAAUGGGUUUACUAUAGUUUUAUUUAAAAAUGGGGUGUGACAUCUCUGGCGACUCUACUGGAGACUUGAGGGUUUGAGCUGAUUUUUGAUCUUGUUGGCUUUUAGGAUUUUAGGUUGCGUUUUAUGUGUUUUGUUGCUUUAUUUGAUUAUUAUUUUGUUUAUAUCGUUUUAUUAUUUGCUAGUUGCUUAUUGCUUAUAGUUUUCUUUUUAUGUGUUUAUUGCUUUAUAUCUGUCAUCAUUUGCAUAACUCGAGUCUUCUUUCUACAACAAGUCUUCCGGAGUACAUUUGAGUGUACACAGCCUUUUUGUGAGUCACCCGUAUCUUUAAGGGGCUGGCGUGGGAGCGUGGAGUGGGCUGACAGCUAGAGUAGCCGCCAUCGACCACUUGCCACCCUGAAUUGCCUUUUCUAGUGAACCCCAACCGUAGGUCAGCCUUCUGGUCAUGCUUAUUUUCAUCAUAUCAUUUAAACUUAGCAGGGUUAUGUCCCAGGCACCGUGUCCCAUUGUAGGAGUCCUAUCCAAAUUAUGUUAAAACUGGGCUUAUGGCCCAAAAAGACAUUUAAUCAUCCAUAUGUGCUACAUCUUGCAUCUCUUUAAGGGUAAAUAGGCCAUUUGGCGGACCAAGGAUAUUUGACGGUGAAAUAUAAACUAAAGUAGGUGAUUUUACACUUUUCCAUUAUUUUCUGAAAAUCAAAAAGAAAAAUCCAAAAAGAUUUUACACUUUCCCAUUAUUUUUCGAAAAUGAAAAAGAAAAAAUCAAAAAAAAAAGAUUUUUACACUUUUCCAUUAUUUUUCAAAAGUAACAAAAAAAAGAGAAAAAGAAAAUCCAAAUAGAUUUUAUAUUUUCUAUUAUUUUCCAAAAAUUUUAAAAAAGUAGAAAAAGAAAAUCCAUAAGAGUUUAUGUUUUUCAUCAUUUUUCAAGAAAGACAAAAAUAGUUUGUUUUUUUCAAAUUAGAUGUAUGUUUUUUGAAUUAUAUCCUGUAUUUUUCUUCCAGGAAUACGCGAACCUAAUUCUCGUCUUUUGAAGCGAGAUAUGUAGGUCCGAUCUUUCUAGUGAGUCUUAGGUUAUUUGCUUUGCGGGGUCUUAGCCAAGUAUUGCAUGUCUAGCCACUUUUGGCCAUAUCGGCUAUUCUUGCAAAAUGGGGUCAUUUUUUGCAUAAAGUGGUUCAAUUACCCAUGUCUUAGAAUUUUGAGUCCACAACUAGGUGUCAUUUUACUUUAAGGUCCGUCCUUUUGAGUUUGCAUCUUUAGCAACUUUCGGCCACAUAGGCUAUUUUUGCAAAAUGAGUUUUUUUGCAAAUAGUUUUGGGCCAUGAUUAUUGUGUAUUUGAAUCCAUAUAAGCCUUAAUGUGUUAUUAUCAUAUCUUUGAGGUCACAUUUGUUGAGUUUGCACUAAUAGCCAUCCUUGGCCACAUAUGUUAAUUUUGCAAAAGUAGCCCAAUCAUGUCUUGCAUGUGUCCAAUAGAAGAUGUCGCGGCGUCGCAUGUGUCUUGAGUCACUAACUCUAUUUGAUCUUAUUUUUCCCAUUCAGGUAUGGAUUAAUUUGCUAGAGUUUGAAUAGAAGAUGUCGUGGCAUCGCAUGUGUCCUGAGUCACUAAAUCUAUUUGAUCUUAUUUUUCCCAUUCAGGUCUGGAUUAAUAUGCUAGAGUUUGAGCAUGACUAAUACCUAGGAUCAUUCUAGUCAAGACCAUUGCAGGCAGCGGCUGCUUGUGGAAACAUUCUAUUUUUUAGUCUAUCUUAUGUUAUCUUUUAAGUUUUAGUCCAGUACAAUAGUAUCGAGUCUGUCAAUCUAGUUAAGGUUUUCGAGUCUUUUGUUACAUCACUUUUUGUUUUGUAUUUGAAAAAUCAAAAAAAAGUUAUAAAUGCAAAAUCCAAAAAUUUUUUUGUCUCUUAAUUUAUUUUCCAUCACUUUUCAAGAACUACGCUUGAUCUGAUUCAUGAGGGACAUGAUACGUAGGCAUCCUACAUAGGGUUCGAUCGAAUCAUUAUUAAAAAAGAAAAAAAAAAGAGGAAAAAAAGAGAUGAAAUUGUGCAAGUGAGAAAUGAGAGAAAAAAGCAAUAAUCAGAAAAAAGAGGGGAAAAGAAAUGAAAAUUCAAGUGGUGUUUAAAAGGAAAAUGAAGAAGGAAAAGAGCUAAAAAAGUAAAAUUGGGAUGGUUCCAUAUGACCUUCGUAUCCUCGAAGUCAUUCUAGAACCGUUAAUUGUUGAUAGGUGGCACUGCAUGCAAUGUGAUAUUUCUAUCUGAUAAAUGCUCUAACCCUAACAUGUUGGCUUUGUUUUGUUCCUCAUUGUUACUUUCUUUGUUAUCAUAACAGAGAGUGGUUACUUGUGGCACAUUGGCGAUUCAUCCGGACAACAUAAGGUCAAAAAGCAAGUGGCAAUGGCUAGCAAAGAAACAAAACUGUUUAUCGUAACAGAGGGUAGUUAGUUUGUGGAACUUUGGCGAUUCAUCCGGGCAACACAAGGUCAAAAAGCAAGUGGCCAUGGCUAUCAAAGAAACAUACACUUGGGUUGGAGACCCACUAAGGGAGAUUGUAGAAUCAGUAACAGAACUGAAAGGGGAAGUCCAAAGAUUGAAACAGCAGAUGGUAGAAAUGCAUCAGUCUUGGAUUAGAGGGCAUCCUCCACCUUCAUUUCCCCUCUAACUAAAAUGAAAAUCUUGCAACUAUCCCACCACAAUCACAAUCACAGGUUCCCACUACUGUUGACCUUACUCCUCAACAUGCGCCGGGUUUUACCCCUUACCACAACUACCCCGGACCUUCAGCCCAAACAUUUUAUGCUCCACCGGUCAAAACAGCCUCGUACCCUGCUCCGAUAUCUGAUCCUAUUUUUGUACCCCCUCCACAAGCUACCCUCCACCGAUCCUCUAGUGAGACCGCGUUCGUCGCUCCAAAUGUCCACUACUAUGAACUGGAGAACACAUUCAGAGUCCCAGACACUUGCCCUUACACUACCCAAUUUGAGCCUCAUGUUGAAACUAAUAAACCACCCAAGAACGCAUAGCAAGAAGAGAUGUUUAGAAAGGUACAAAGUCUGGAGCAAUCACUAAAAAAUAUGCAAGGGUUGGGAAGCUAGAGUGUGGCCUAUAAGGAUUUGUGUUUGUUUCCCGAUGUCCAACUGCCUGUCAGGUUUAAGAUGCCUAAGUUUGACAUGUAUGACGGACAUGGGGACCCUGUAACUCAUCUGAGAGGUUAUUACAAUGAGAGGCGCUGGUAGAAAAAACGAAUUACUAAUGGUGUAUUUAACCAAGAGAUUGAGUGGGGAAGCUCUAGAACGGUACACCCACCAGGACACCAGCGAAUGAUACACAUGGGACGAUAUGGCUCAGACCUUCGCCCGGCACUGUCAGUACAAUAUAGUCAUUGUUCCGGAUCGCUUAUCUUUGACCAACGUGGAAAAUAAAACCAGUGAAAGCUUUAGAGAAUAUGGGUUCCGAUGGACGGAGCAAGCUGCACGAGUCAUUCCUCUGAUGGAGGAAGACGAGAUGGUUAAAUACUCUUUCCGAGCCCUGGAGCCCACUUACUAUAGCCACUUGAUCUGAGCCAUUGGUAAGUCUUUCAAAAAUGUGUUGAAGAUGGGAGAAAUGGUGGAAGAAGGGCUCAAUUCGAGUAAGAUCAUGAGCUAUUCUACCUUGAAAGCCACAACAGAAGCAAUUCAGAACGACACACGAAGCUUGCUGGGUCAGAAGAAACAUGAUGAUGGUUCCAUGGUUGUCUCAGGAUCACGACAUGGCCCAACGGGUCCACCUCACCAAUAUACUCUACCUCGACCAAGACCCCAAAUCCAAACCAAUCCUCGGGCUCCACAUAAUCCAUCUUAGUAUUAUCCUCUUAAUAAUGCCCAGCCAUUUGUUCAACCAAUGGGUCACUCCUUAUGGCGAGCACCAGCACUGCAUAAUACUCUUUCGCCUUCACAACAUUUUCGAGCACCCAAAACUCUAGGAAUCAGGGGCAUAGAGGGGAACAAAGGAAAAGAAAUUGUUUCACUCCAAUCGUAGAAUCCUACGCAAGUUUUUUUGAAAAGUUGAAACAAUUUGGCCUGAUUGAGCUGCUCUUCGACUAUACCCUAUACCCAUAUACAAAAGGUUUUGAUCCUACUGUGUGGUGCAUGUACCACUCUAACGUCCAAGGGCAUAGCAUUGAAGAUUGUCGUUCUUUGAAAAGGGAGAUAGAAAGAAUUAUUCAAGAAGGGAUAAUUGUGGUCCAGGAUAGUGGCACCCGGAAUAUCACACAGAAUCAUUUACCUACACAUGAUGAUGCACAUUUUGUGGGUGAUAUGCGUGGUGACAAGGAGUAUGAGAGUCCUCUUGGGAGCUUGCUGAGUGAAGUUACUGAAAUUGGAAUUGGUGAAAGUCCUAGCAAUUUUGAUGUGCAAUCUUGUGGCUAAGACGUCGAGCUUAGAGAUUUAAAAGAUACUCAUUUCUCGACUAGCCAUCGAGAAGUUUUGUAGUUUAUUUUGUUGUCAUUUAUUGCUUACUCCGUUUGUUUCAGGAUUGUAAUUUGGAUAUUGUCUCGUGGAUCAAACUCUUCUUAUUCUCAUUUUGUCUUGUUCUUUUAGUUUGUAGUAACUCGUCUAGUGUUAUUUAGGGUUGUUCCAGGGUUGUAACACAUGUCUAUUGUGUUUGUCCUGUUCAAACCCUUCAUUAUCUUUCUAUUGCAAUCUCCUAUUUUCUGUUAAUUCUAGUCAGUUUUGCUUAGGUCAAUUUUUCAUUUAGACAUGACAUGCACGGAUAAUUCUCAGCUUAUUCUUGAAAGUUGGUCUUAUCAUGAAGCAAUGACAUAUUUUUGAAUAUGAUAAAAAGAGGAAUUUGAGGAAAAAGUAAAGAUUCACGCAUUUUGAUAAAGGUGGAGCUUGAAUUGAGUGAAACUGAGGUAGUUAUUUUGGAAAAUGAAGAUGUUGAUAAGAGCAUACAACAAGGAAAUUUCUCUCAAGCAGUUUAAGGUAAAUCAAUCAGUGCUAAAAGGCAUUCUUCCACAUCAAGAUAAGGUUGAGUCAAGUCUGCUUCGAACUAGCAAAGAUCAUUCAUUGAGAUAAAGGUAUUGCCCGUUGGCACUUUAUGUUUGUGUGGAUGCCAUGAAUAGAUACUAUGUAUGAUUUAUUUUCUUAUCUUCAAUUUCAUGCUUGUACGUACCAUUUUUAAAGUUUGGAAUGAAGAAGGCAUUUUAUUCUGCUACCCAAAUACUUUUAUCAUUUGCUAUCCAUUUUCAGCCCUAAUUUUUUGUUUCAUACCCUUCUUUUGGAAUCAGAAAUAGAGUUACGAACUAGAAAAGGAAAAAAAAGAAAAAGGAAAAAAAAAGGAAAAGAGAAAAAUAAAAAAAAUGAAGAAAAGAAAAAGGAAAAAAAGAGAAAAAAAGAGAAAAAGAAAGAAAAGGAAAAGAAAAAACAACAACUUUGUGUUUGAACUACGUUAGACCUGAUUCUUGUCACCACAAGAUACGUAGGCAGCCUUACAGUUCGCUCACACGAAAUAAAAUAUUUUAUAAUUCCUCGAAAUCAAUACCGACGCAGAUUUUCUUAGAAAUCACAUAACAAAAUAAUCCCCCAAACUCCGAGAAAGUGGGGCAUAAGUUUUGAUUUUUCCAAAAGGCCUGAUUCAAAAAGUUGUACUUUUCAACCCUUUCAUCUUAAAUUAUUUUGAGCCUUCAUGCCACCCUUUCUUUCUAACCCUGUCCAACAGCCUAUAUUACUGUCCAAAGAAAGACCUUUUGACCAAUCUUUGAGGAUGCCAAAUCAAGUGUGUGGUUAGAGUAUGAUCUUCCAGCAUCAUGGGUAACAUUUGUUCUCAGCACAAUGAGAGAAAAUGAUAAAUGAGAGAGUCUUAUAGGUGAAAACCCCAGGAGCCACCGUAAGGCGACGGUGAGUCGAGAAAAGAGCAAACAAGAGGUACAACAAGAGUUGAAUAUUAGACUCCCUUUAGGGCACUGCAAGUUGAUUGAGGAUUGCAGAUCAUAUGGGACAAUUGAAGUGCUGAAGCCCAGUUUCACAGCAAAGAGGUACAACAAGAGUUGAAUAUUAGACUCGCUUGAGAGCUUAAGCCACUUAAUCCAAUGGUGCAUGUCAUGGUCUUUAGAGUUGGUAUCCACAUCUGAUAAAUUUUUUUUACUACAACAAGAGUUGAAUAUUAGACUCGCUUGAGAGCUUAAGCCACUUAAUCCAAAGGUGCAUGUCAUGGUCUUUAGAGUUGGUAUCCACAUCUGAUAAGUUUUUUUUACUUUGUAAUUUUCUUGUUAGGUAUCAUCUCUUUUCCCUGUCCCUUAUUUUGUUCCUCUUAUCUUGUUUGAAUCCUUUUUGAGUCUGUUUUAUCGAAACAAGUGAGAAAUGACUUCAAAAUUUGCCACCAGCUUUCCAAUUGCACAAAGCCGAGUAUGGCAAGCAUGUUAAAAUGACAUAAGAUACGGGAGAAUAGUGUGCACUGAGUUCGUGAUAAUAGAUGUUCUUUGGGAUUGAUGUAAAAUGCAAAGAUUGGAUGAAUGUCAGAACACUAGUGCAAUGCAUCAGGCAUAAGGUAUUGGACUUGAACGAAUCAGGAAUAUUUCUUUGUGAUAAGGUUUGAAAGAAAAUGGGUAGUUGACAACAUUCAAGGUCGUCCAAGUUGAAAUCAAAGUUUCCUUGGCAAAUGUAGAAGCACCCGCCUUCAAGGUCAAGGCCACAAACUAACCACCGUGUUUUAAGCUCACAAACUUUCUUUGUCAGAAACAGUGAUGAAGGCUAUAUUCAUAACAAAGCUUGUAUUUUCCAGGUGUAAUGUCCUAAUUCCUCUUGCAUGAAGGCUAUUGAGAAGAUCGCACAUCACCCCUAGGAGAAGCACUUCCUAGUUUGGGCCUUUCAGGUUAUAUUUUGUUUUAGGGGACGCACUUCCUAAAUUGACUUUCAUCCCUAGGAGACGCACUUCCUAAUAUGAGUUUUCAGGUUAUCGUUUUGGGAGAGACACUUCCUAAAUUGAUAUUUUACCCCUUAGGAGACACACCUCCUAGUUUAAAUCAUUGAAGUGUCACCCCUAGGUGGCGCACUUCUUAGUUUGGGCAUGUUAUAUUUUUAUUUUAGGAGACGCACUUCCUAAUUUAGGUUUUACCCCUAGGAGACGUACUUCCUAGUCUGGGUCUGUCAAGUUAUAUUUUUUUUUAGGAGACACUUCCUAAAUUGAGAUUUCACCCCUAUUAGAUGCAUUUCCUAGUUUGGGUCUUGCAGGAUAUAUUGUGUUUUAGGAGAUGCACUUCCUAGAUUAAAAUUUUACCCCAGUAGACGCACUUCCUAGUUCGAGUCAUGUAAGUUCAUUCCUAGGGUAGUCACUUCCUAGUUUGAGUAAUUGAAGUUUAACCCAUAGGAGACGCACUUCCUAGUCUGAGUUUGUCAAGUUAUAUUUGUGUUUUAGGAGUCGCACUUCCUAAAUUAAAAUUUUACCUCUAGGAGACGCACUUCCUAGUUUUGGGUCAUUUAAGUUUAUUCUUAGGAAACAUUUCCUAGCUUGAGUCAUUGAAAUUUUACCCCCUAGGAGACACACUUCUUAGUUUGGAUUUUUCAGGUUAGAUUUUAUUUUAGGAGACGCACUUGAUAAAUUGAGAUUUCACCCCUAGGAGAUGCACUUCCUAGUUUGGGUCUUGCAGGAUAUAUUGUGCUUUAGGAGACGCACUUCCUAAAUUAAAAUUUUACCCCUAGGAGACACACUUCCUAGUUCGGGUCAUGUAAGUUCAUUCCUAUGAGACGCACUUCCUAGUUUGAGUUAUUCAAGUUUCAUCCCUAGGAGAUGCACUCCCUAAUUUUGGUUCAUUCAAGUUACAUCCCUAGGAGACGCACUUCCUAGUUUGCGUUAUUCAAGUUUUACCCCUAGGAGACGCACCUCCUAGUUUUUGGUUUAUUCAAACCUAGUUUGGGUCAUGUAAAUUCAUUCCUAGGAGACACACUUCCUGGUUUGAGUUAUUGAAGUUUCACCCCUAGAGACGCACUUCCUAGCCUGGGUUUGUUAGAUUAUAUUUUUAUUUUAGGAGACGCACUUCCUAAAUUGAGAUUUUACCCCAAGAGAUGCACUUCUUGGUCUGGGUGUUUCAAGUUAUAUUUUUAUUUUUAGGAGACGCACUCCCUCCUGUUGGUCAUUUAAAUUCAUUCCUAGGAGAUGCACGUCCUAGUUUGAGUCAUUGAAGUUUCUCCCUUAGGAGGCGCACUUCCUAAAUUGAGGUUUCACCUCUAGGAGACGCACUUCCUAGUCUAGGUUAUUCUGAUUAUACUUUUAAGGAGACACACAUCCUAAAUUGAGAUUUUACCACUAGGAGACACACUUAUUAUUUGGUUCAUCUAAGUUCACUCCUAGAAGACGCACUUCCUAGUUUGAGUCAUUGAACUUUCGCCCUUAGGGGACGAACUUCCUAAAUUGAGGUUUCACCCAAAGGAGACGCACUUCCUAGUCUGGGACUUCCAGGUUAUAUAUUUGUUCUAGGAGAUGCACUUUUUGAAUUGAGAUUUUACCCCUAGGAGACGUACUUCCUACUUUAGGUAAUUUAAGUUCAUUCCUAGGGAUGCACUUCCUAGUUUGAGUUAUCAAGUUUAUCUCUAGGAGACACACUUCCUAGUUUGAGUCAUUCAAGUUUAACCCUAGUAGAGGCACUUCCUAGUUUGGGUCAUUUAAAUUUAUUCCUAGGAGACGCACUUCCUAGUUUGAGUCAUUGAAGUUUCACCCCUAGGAGACGUAUUUCCUAGUCAUAGUAUUUUAGGUUAUACUGUUUUAGGAGACGCACUUGCUAAAUUGAGGUUUUAGCCCUAGGAGACGCACUUCCUAGUUUUGGAUCAUUUCAGUUUAUUCCUAGGUGACACACUUCCUAGCUUGAGUCAUUGAAAUUUUACCCCAUAGGAAACGCACUUCCUAGUCUGGGUCGUUGAGGUUAUAUUUUUAUUUUAGGAGAAACACUCCCUAAAUUGAGUUUCACCCCUAUAAGACACACUUCCUAGCUUGGGUCAUUUAAGUUCGUUCCUAGGAGACGCAUUUCCUAGUUUUAGUCAUUGAAGUCUCACCCCUAGGAGACACACUUCCAAGUUCAAGUCACUGAAGUUUCACCCCUAGGAGACGCACUUCCUAGUUUGAGUUAUUCAAGUUUUACCCCUAGGAGACGCACCUCCUUGUUUUGGUUCAUUCAAGUUUCAUCCCCAGGAGACGCACUUCCUAGUUUGGGUCAUUCAAGUUCAAUUCUUAACAGGCGCACUUGUUAGUGAAAAUUUCUUGAUUUUACUCCCAGGAGACGUAUAUCCUAGUCGAGUCUUUAGCUUACUCUCAUCAUUGCAUCAAUAGCAUAAGUGGUUUACUUUUUUUUCUAACAAACUCACAAAUCUUCCUAGUGAAAACUUAGGUAGAAAAUUUUGUUUGUUUUGUUAUUUUGAUUGUAGGCACCCACCUGAAGAACAAGGAAGCACAUUUCAAUUUCCAAGUCAGUAG
RNAcentral lists this long non-coding RNA (11371 nucleotides) under Nicotiana benthamiana. RNAcentral describes it as "long non-coding RNA (NBEN_LNC005929)". Lineage: Eukaryota; Viridiplantae; Streptophyta; Magnoliopsida; Solanales; Solanaceae. The record is from RNAcentral.